Molecule: long non-coding RNA, 925 nt
Organism: Equus caballus (horse)
Lineage: Eukaryota; Metazoa; Chordata; Mammalia; Perissodactyla; Equidae
Source: Ensembl
GUGGGCGGGGCUGGGGGCGGGGCCUGCGGCUGACCUGUCACUCACGGUAGGCCCGCGGCCACCGCCCUCACCCCUCCCACGUGGUUAGAGACGGCUGUGCUCGCAGCAAGCGAUUCCACAACUGCGUGUGCGGAUUUCUUACCCGUUAUUGAAUACGAACCUAGUGCUUAAGCGCGAUUCCAGGCGCUGGGGGCACAGUGGCGACCACGACAGUCAAGAUCCCUGCCCUAAUGGAGUUCUCAGGCUGGUGGGGGAAACAAAAUAUAAUAACUGCCAGUUUGUAAGGAGAGCUAAGACGAAAAAAGCAGGGUGAUGGAAAAGAGAAUGCCUGUGUGGUCAGGGAAGGCCUCCCUGAGGAGGUAUGUAAUUCAAAGGAUUUCCUCUAAGGAUUCCAAACUGAGCUCCAACCACGGUCCUUAAACCACCUUUUUGUCUAAAUGGCACAAAGAGAGGAGUCUCUUUCUCCUGAUGACAAGCCAUGAGGGAAGAACCUGCCUGGAAGGAAGCCGUUACAGAAGACAGCAAUGCCGUGACGGAGAGAGACGCUAGAAUCCAGUGAUGCCGUGUGAGCUUCCGGAUCAGGCUAAAGCGAGACAUACCCCUGGAAUGUUACAUGGCAUUAGGAAAAAAAAAAUUCCAUUUUUUUGCUCACUUUCAGUUGGCUUUUCUGUCACGUGCAAUUAAAAUAAUCCUGAAGGAGGCAGGCAUUACUUGAAUCCUUCUAACAGCUCCUCUAACAAGCUCGCUACAAGGUCAGGAGGCCAGAAUUCAGUAAGCUUUUCCCAGUUGAAUGUGCUUGUCCCUCACAUGCGAUAUAUGGUGGUUCUUUCAACGACGUUAAGAAGAAUGUUUUCGGCAUCAUAUUUCAUUUUGUUCUGUACAUUUUUAAAAUAUCAUUAAAUAGUUCUGUUUACAAAGAACGAAA